GGGGGUGACAGCGUACCUUUUGUAGAAUGGACCGGCGAGUGACGAUUCUAAGCAAGGUUAAGCUGAAGAGGCGGAGCCGCAGCGAAAGCGAGUCUGAAUAGGGCGUUUGAGUUUAGGGUUGUCGACCCGAAACCGUGUGAUCUACCCAUGUCCAGGGUGAAGUUCAGGUAACACUGAAUGGAGGCCCGAACCCACGCAUGUUGAAAAAUGCGGGGAUGAGGUGUG
RNAcentral lists this ribosomal RNA (225 nucleotides) under Sporolactobacillus nakayamae. RNAcentral describes it as "23S rRNA. Bacterial LSU". It matches the Rfam family "Bacterial large subunit ribosomal RNA", at positions 589 to 813 of the family's 2925-position model. Lineage: Bacteria; Bacillati; Bacillota; Bacilli; Caryophanales; Sporolactobacillaceae. The record is from RNAcentral.